AUGGCCGGAGGUCACCGCCGGACCCCAACAGGGUCACCCAGGGUGUCACUGACCCUCGUGUGCCGCGGCUCCGGAUUCGAUUCUGGAAAUGUUGGGAUGCAAUGGGUGCGGCAGAGCCCCGGGCAGGGCAUCGAAUACAUCGCGGGGAUCAGCACCAGCGGUUCCAGCACUGAGUACGCGCCAUCGGUCAGGGGUCGGUUCAGGAUCUCGAGGGACAACGGGCAGAGCUCRGUGACGCUGACCAUGAGUGACCUCAGGGAUGGCGAUUCCGGCUCCUAUUUCUGUGCCAAAUCUGCUGAUAGUGCUUAUCACGGUGCUGCUGCCUACGGUGACAAUGGCGGGGAUCGCCUCAAGGUCACAGUGUUGGCCACGCCCCCAUGGCUCUGUUCCCUCCUGUCCCCAAUCUCCAGCCCCUCCCCCACUCCCUGA
Molecule: non-coding RNA, 429 nt
Organism: Malurus melanocephalus (red-backed fairy wren)
Lineage: Eukaryota; Metazoa; Chordata; Aves; Passeriformes; Maluridae
Source: the annotation of a RefSeq genome assembly